RNAcentral lists this small RNA (318 nucleotides) under Pan troglodytes (chimpanzee). Its description in RNAcentral is "processed transcript". The record is from RNAcentral. Lineage: Eukaryota; Metazoa; Chordata; Mammalia; Primates; Hominidae.
UUCAAACACUUCCCUCAUGGAGGCUGAAGGGAACACGGAUGCUUAAAGAAAUUCUAAAAAUUGAUGGCUCUAACACUGUGGACCAUAAGAAUGAAAUCAAACAGAUUGCUAAUGAAAUCCCUAUUUCCUCUAACAGAAGAGAUGAAUAUGGAUUACCCUCUCAGCCUAAACAAAAUAAGAAAUUAGCAUCUUAUAUGAACAAGCCUCACAGUGCUAAUGAGUACCAUAAUGUUCAGUCUAUGGACAAUAUGUGUUGGCCUGCCCCCAGCCAGAUCCCUCCUGUAUCCACACCAGUAACUGAACUUUCUCGAAUUUGUU